RNAcentral lists this unclassified non-coding RNA (176 nucleotides) under Sarocladium implicatum. Its description in RNAcentral is "sequence contains ITS2". Lineage: Eukaryota; Fungi; Ascomycota; Sordariomycetes; Hypocreales; Sarocladiaceae. The record is from RNAcentral.
CAACCCUCGGGCCCACCCCUCGCGGGGAACGGGCCCGGCGUUGGGGACCGGAGGCCGCCCCGGCGGCACCCGCCCCCUAAAUUCAGUGGCGGUCGCGCCGCAGCCUCCCCUGCGUAGUAGCACACCUCGCACCGGAGAGCGGCACGGCCACGCCGUAAAACCCCCGACUUUCUGAA